Long non-coding RNA from Salvia miltiorrhiza (redroot sage), 562 nucleotides. RefSeq lists it as uncharacterized. NCBI's taxonomy places the organism in Eukaryota, Viridiplantae, Streptophyta, Magnoliopsida, Lamiales, Lamiaceae. The record is from RefSeq and is a predicted model, not a curated record. The transcript is spliced from 2 exons.
UAUGAUUUAAUUGGUUUUAUUUAUAAUUCCAAUUAUUAAAGAAAGAUGAGUAAGAAUAUUGUUGGUGUUCUUAACUCAAGAGAAAUGUUUUUAAUUAUUUAUUCAUUAAAAACCCGGCUAAGUGAAUCAUAGAAUGUUAAGCACUACACCAUGACUUAAGAUUAGAUUCAAGGAGACCUAUUAAGAAUAGAAUUUCUUGUAGGCUUUGUGGACCAAGGGGAUUAGCACUGUUUUCCCAAGACAGGUUAUGUGAUUAUGAUCUUCAGGCUUUGCCUAUCCAGGUUGAGCAGCUGAUGGAAUGGAAUGAUGUUGAGCGGGUGUUCCUUUGACAUUUCAAGAAAUGUAACCUUGAGUAUACAUCUUCAUAUGUAUAUCUCACACGUUUUCCGCUGCAAAACACUUUGAUUAGGAUAACUUUAUGUUAUGAAAUUGUGACACGUGUUAUUGGGUAACCCACCUUAAUCAGUUCUCAUUUAUGUGUAUGUUUUAUAAGUAUCCAAAUAAUCAUAUAUGAUCCUAGCAUUUUAUCUAUGAGUGACAUUUCCAUAUACUUUAAUGUUAA